UUUAAAUCGCGGCGCUCAACAUGGCGGCGCCCACGUUACCGCUCGGCCGGGUGUCCUCUGGUGCGGGCAAGGACAAAACUUUUUCGCGUCGAGUUGUGCUCCCUUAACCGUCUAGAGAUGCGUCUGAACCCUUAUGAGCCCUUCAGCGCGACCUGAGGGCUGGCCGCCACCUGCGAACCUGCUGACCUUUAAUGACCCUCAUCGGCCGUGCUCCGGAAGCGCUUGCUCCGCUCCGUCUGUGUCCCGGAAACGAAUSAGACCCUGGGACGGUGUUGGCAGAAGGCCUGUCCCUGAUUGUUAAGAUGCAGGUGGACACCUCUGCACUGCACAGCUCGGGUGGACACUGCAAACAUGGCGUCCAUCACCUCCAGGAGAGAGAAGGCUCCUGCCAGAGUGUGACCCCACCGACUAUCUGGCAAUAUUAAAAGAUCCAUUUCUCUGAGCCGAUGUGGCAUGGCAGAGUCAGUUUGCACAACCAAGCUGGCGUGAGAGGAGCAUGGUCUGUGAUCACUGUCUGUUCCAAAGCUUAUGUCAUCGGCCUCUGACGGAAAGACCGACAAGCCAGCAGGUCUCRUAGCUCAACAGGAGUUUCCAACUCCGCCUCAGCUCUGCCCCCUGGUGGGGAGACACGGAGACCCGAGGAGAGGCCCGAGGAGAGGCCACGGUGCGGUCACACACCACUCCACCCCCCUGCAGGGGCAUCCGGUGUCUCUGUGUCAUGAAUCUGUAGAUCGUGUGCUCCACCAUUGGAAAAAAGGGAGCUACAGGAGGCAAGAGAAGAAGCCGCCCUUUACAGGGACACAUCUGGACACUGGUUUCUGCUCUGAGGAUCCCAGGGAGGUGACUUUGUCCCUUUCUUCCGCUUUAUUUAAUAAAGAAUGAACUGACCACGCA
Molecule: long non-coding RNA, 894 nt
Filed under: Urocitellus parryii (Arctic ground squirrel)
Lineage: Eukaryota; Metazoa; Chordata; Mammalia; Rodentia; Sciuridae
Description: lncRNA (ENSUPAG00010020251.1)
Source: RNAcentral